RNAcentral lists this ribosomal RNA (685 nucleotides) under Lagis koreni. Its description in RNAcentral is "SSU rRNA". It matches the Rfam family "Eukaryotic small subunit ribosomal RNA", at positions 51 to 728 of the family's 1831-position model. Lineage: Eukaryota; Metazoa; Annelida; Polychaeta; Terebellida; Pectinariidae. The record is from RNAcentral.
AUGCAUGUCUAAGUACAGCUCUCGUAUAGUGAAACCGCGAAUGGCUCAUUAAAUCAGUUACUAUUUCUUAGAUCUUACUUUUGUUACUUGGAUAACUGUGGUAAUUCUAGAGCUAAUACAUGCAAUUCAACCCUGACUUCUGGAAAGGGUGCUCUUAUUAGACUCAAAACCAAUGUCCGAUUUCGGUCGGUCUCGUUUUGGUGACUCUGGAUAAAUUGGCGGAUCGCAGCGCUUUACGCGGGCGACGUAUCUUUCAAAUGUCUGCCCUAUCAACUGUCGACGGUAGUGUAUUGGACUACCGUGGUUGCAACGGGUAACGGGGAAUUAGGGUUCGAUUCCGGAGAGGGAGCCUGAGAAACGGCUACCACAUCCAAGGAAGGCAGCAGGCGCGCAAAUUACCCACUCCUAGCACAGGGAGGUAGUGACAAGAAAUAACAAUACGGGACUCUUUCGAGGCCCCGUAAUUGGAAUGAGAACAGUGUAAAGCACUUAACGAGGAUCUAUUGGAGGGCAAGUCUGGUGCCAGCAGCCGCGGUAAUUCCAGCUCCAAUAGCGUAUAUUAAAGUUGUUGCAGUUAAAAAGCUCGUAGUUGGAUCUCGGGAGCGAGCGAGCGGUCGGGCGUUCAGCCGUGUACUUCUCACUCAUCCUACUGACCGGUACGUGCCCUGUGCUCUUAACCGAGUGU